CACCAAGACAACCCCGUUGCAGCACAAAACCUAGCACCAAAUCUAUCGAUGCAACACUUAAAUCGAAAGAGAAGUGCGCAAAGAGGAAGAGAUCGAAAAGAUUUGAAUCGAAUCUACGGGAGCAAAAAGGGGAUCGAAGGAUCACCUUGGAUUUGAAGUUGAGAUUACUGCAUUUUAGGGUUAGGAUUUGGGAGGAGAGAAUGGGAGAAGAGAGAGGGAGAGCGAGAGAGUUACGCGUAAAGUUAGGGUUUGGGAGAAGAGAAUGGGAGACGGUGGGGGAAAGCAGAAGAGGACGUGUCUGGGGUUUGGGGGGGGGAUGGGGGAAGACGAGAUCGUGCUGGGUUUGACGGAGGAUAAGAUUAACUCCUAUCCCAUGUAAUCUCACCAAUUAAGCUAGGAAGUUAGUCCAAUAAAAGCCGGAUUAAAUUAAUUAAGAUCAUAUUGGCUUAUUUAAUUAGGAUAAUUGUUUACAUGCCUUUCAAAACUUCUAAAAUAUCUUAUAUAUUUCUAUAUUUUUGUUUCAAAUAUACCAUAUUUCUCUGUUAUUCAAAAAUAACCCCGCUGUUAGUAACCUUAAGUUAUCUUGUGUUAAACCAGGAUUAAAUUUUUACCAAGAGUUAAAAGAGUCAAAAUACCUAUUUUGUUCCUGACUUAAAGGCAAAUAAGAAAAGUUAGUGACAGUAGAUAGAUAUAUUUGAAAGAGAAGAAGUCAAAAUACCUCUCCUUGCUUCUAACUUAAGGGCAAAUAACAAAAAUCGAUGAUGGUCGAAUAGUAUAUUUAAAAGGAUACAAUAGUAAUUUUAUAUAGAUAACGAUUGCUCCUAACAAUUUACUUAUAGAAUCUAAUUCUAUGGGUAUAUUUGAAAGAAUUUGGAGUGUUAAAAGAGUAUUUUUAAUAUUAGUCUUUUUAAGAGGGAUAAAUAAAAAAGUUGGGAACCUUGCAGGACUAUAUAUGCAAUUGUCCCUAUUUAACUUGAUGUGCGUUCAAA
RNAcentral lists this long non-coding RNA (989 nucleotides) under Ananas comosus (pineapple). RNAcentral's name for it is "long non-coding RNA (ACOM_LNC033448)". The record is from RNAcentral. Lineage: Eukaryota; Viridiplantae; Streptophyta; Magnoliopsida; Poales; Bromeliaceae.